GAGGAACAAGUAGAAAAUUACAGCCAUUCCGGACGAAAUUGAAGCGCGCGUCAGUGCACGUCCAACAACCGCCGCAACCGGUCGUUCCAGCGUCAUAUAUUCCGCGUCCUUUGUCUCGAGGAACUGAUGCGGUAUCACGUGUAUAAAAGUAAUAUCUGCUAUCCCAGUACCAGUCAAAGGGGUCUCGCCGCGUUUGAGUUAUAACGCCACACGAUGACUAGGGCGAGAGUGUCUCGUGAAGUGGGGGAUGGCUUGGCCUCUCUGUAUGCAUACAGGGUGUCCCGUAACUGGUGGCACAGGCGAGGACAGAGGGGUUGAUAAACGCCCGCCCCCAUUCCAUCGUCGACCGUUUUCAACGUCGUCCCGACGACCCCAGUCAUCCGCCACGGGCCACAAUCAUCGCAGCGUCGCGGUAUUCAUAAACUAACUCAGACAACGUCUGAAACUUUGCGUCACAGGAUGGCGAUGCUCUGAUAUGGAAUAAUGGCGACGGCAUAGUAAUGAAGAUCGUGCAUGUUCACGCAUACCCGGCCGCUGCACGAGCUGUCCCUAAGUAUUUCCAUUCACGUCCCGCGAGUUCGUCCGAUGACGCGUACGUUCGUUCUGUUGCGCUUUAUCGCGGCCAGCCUGAGACUGAAAAUUGAUUAAUCGCGAGCACCAGUUGUUUGGAAUGGCGACAACAAGAAUUCAUCCUGGUGGGUGACGUUCGUGGUAUAGAAACGCGAACGGUGACUUUCGUCGCGAUAGUAGCACUGGUCUUGCGACGAAUUGGGGUGGUUAGGAUGUGGUGGAGGAUGGGGAGAGUUUAUAACAUGGGCCAGGAUGGUUUCCAGAAAGGUUUUGGUUUUGGUAGAUGGUUCAGGUUGACGUGACGAGCUCUGUUUUAAAUUGACAAAAAUCGUCCCCCAGUCGAGGAGUUAAUGGUCCCAGAGCCCGAUGGGUCACGCGACCGUUAAAAAUAAUCAUUUGUUUCCAUCACUUUCAAUCUGUGCCGGAACGUUGGAACGCGUAACGGUCCUCCAAUGACCGAUUCGAUUAUAAUCAAGGGAAAUCGGCGUCGUUACGCAAUCGGGCCAUCGUCCGCGAAGCACUGAUUUCGGGGGCGUUGUAGGAUGGAUGGCUGCGAACAGGCCGGCCAACCGGGGGAUGGCACGAGGGACAGGGCAGAAUAAAUAAACGCCAUAAUUCACGUUCAAGAGUUACGAACGGUUCAAUUCGCAAUUGGAAUCGGUCCAACGGCUGUGACGCGAUAUAGACGAACGCCUGGCAAUGGUGGCCGCGGACCCCCGGGCGAGAGGGCGGCGAGAGGUUGGCGCUCAGGAUACGGGAAAGGGCUGAAAGCAUUACACGACGAAGGGACAAACAGCUCGUCGCUUCUGUGUACGACGACGAACGUUGCCUGAAAUUAAUUU
Molecule: long non-coding RNA, 1412 nt
Organism: Hylaeus anthracinus
Lineage: Eukaryota; Metazoa; Arthropoda; Insecta; Hymenoptera; Colletidae
Exons: 3
Source: RefSeq, a predicted model, not a curated record